RNAcentral lists this ribosomal RNA (157 nucleotides) under Primula marginata. Its description in RNAcentral is "5.8S ribosomal RNA". It matches the Rfam family "5.8S ribosomal RNA". Rfam says of the family: 5.8S ribosomal RNA (5.8S rRNA) is a component of the large subunit of the eukaryotic ribosome. The record is from RNAcentral. Lineage: Eukaryota; Viridiplantae; Streptophyta; Magnoliopsida; Ericales; Primulaceae.
ACUCUUGGCAAUGGAUAUCUAGGCUCUCGCAUCGAUGAAGAACGUAGCAAAAUGCGAUACUUGGUGUGAAUUGCAGAAUCCCGUGAACCAUCGAAUUUUUGAACGCAAGUUGCGCCCGAAUCCAUUAGGCCGAGGGCACGUCUGCCUGGGCGUUUAA